RNAcentral lists this ribosomal RNA (1057 nucleotides) under uncultured bacterium. RNAcentral's name for it is "bacterial SSU rRNA". It matches the Rfam family "Bacterial small subunit ribosomal RNA", at positions 8 to 1064 of the family's 1533-position model. The record is from RNAcentral.
AGAGUUUGAUCCUGGCUCAGGAUGAACGCUGGCGGCGUGCUUAACACAUGCAAGUCGAACGGGAAGCGGUGUAUUUUUACUUUGGUAAUUUUGCGCCGUGGAGAGUGGCGAACGGGUGCGUAACACGUAGGUAACCUGCCCUGAAAUGGGGGAUAACCAUGGGAAACUGUGGCUAAUACCGCAUAAUCUCGCCGGGACGGGAGUACCGGUGAGGAAAGCUGAGGCGAUUUGGGAGGGGCCUGCGGUCGAUUAGCUGGUUGGUGGGGUAAAGGCCCACCAAGGCGAUGAUCGAUAGCUGUUCUGAGAGGAAGACCAGCCACACGGGAACUGAGACACGGUUCCGACUCCUACGGGGGGCAGCAGUGAGGAAUAUUGCGCAAUGGGGGGAACCCUGACGCAGCAACGCCGCGUGGAGGACGAAGGUUUUCGGAUUGUAAACUCCUUAUCUGGGGGAAGAGAGAGGACGGUACCCCAGGACGAAGACACGGCUAACUAGGUGCCAGCAGCCGCGGUAAUACCUAGGUGUCGAGCGUUAUCCGGAAUUACUGGGCGUAAAGGGUGCGCAGGCGGCGAUACAAGUCUGGCGUGAAAGCUUCUGGCUUAACUGGGAGAGGACGUUAGAAACUGUAUGGCUAGAGUGAAUGAGAGGGGGGCGGAAAUCCCGGUGUAGUGGUGGAAUGCGUAGAUAUCGGGAAGAACACCAGAGGCGAAGGCGGCCUCCUGGCAUUUUACUGACGCUGAGGCACGAAAGCGUGGGUAGCGAACGGGAUUAGAUACCCCGGUAGUCCACGCUGUAAACGAUGUGAACGAGGUGUGGGCGGUGUAGAAGCCGUCUGUGCCGGAGCAAACGCGAUAAGUUCUCCGCCUGGGGAGUACGGCCGCAAGGUUAAAACUCAAAGGAAUUGACGGGGGCCCGCACAAGCGGUGGAGCAUGUGGUUUAAUUCGAUGCAACGCGAAGAACCUUACCUGCCCUUGACAUCCUCGGAAUCAGCCAGAGAUGGCAGAGUGCCUUCGGGAGCCGAGAGACAGGUGCUGCAUGGCUGUCGUCAGCUCGUG